GGGGGUGCACCGGUUUCGACAGAUCAGGGAGGUCCUGGGCUGCAAUCCGAAGCUGACAGGGUGGCUUCGUAAAAAACCUGUCAAAAAAGUAACUGCUGACCACGAGUUGGCCCUGGCUGCCUAAGUGCGGCUACGCUCCCCGGCAAGUUAGCCCGUGACGGGUCGACGGAGCGCCAUUCAAGACGGGCUCGGAGGUUGCCAACGCCUGUAGGCGACCUCGAGAGGAACAGGCUGGCCUGGAGGAAGGUGUGCUCGCGAUACCCACCUCCGGGUGAGACCUCAAAGCGCGAGACAUGAUUGUAGAGGCUCUGGAUUCAACUUUUCUGGACGGGAGUUCGACUCUCCCCACCUCCACUC
This 357-nucleotide transfer-messenger RNA is filed under the name bacterium. RNAcentral's name for it is "JACPRK01 sp016190005 Standard tmRNA". It matches the Rfam family "transfer-messenger RNA". From Rfam's summary of the family: Bacterial tmRNA, also known as 10Sa RNA or SsrA, is named for its dual tRNA and mRNA-like properties. RNAcentral also lists the same sequence under 1 other name. The record is from RNAcentral.